ACUGUUCGCCACUGUUUUCUCCUUAAAUCCCAGCCUGGCAUGAAACAGAGUAGCAAAUCUUGGAUCCUGUAUGUCUCUGACGUGGUGUUCUCUCCCUGGAAGGUCUGUCUAUUACUGAUCUGUCUACUACCUGUCUACUACUAACUUGGAGUCUGCCCCCCGCCUGUGUGUUUUCAGUCUACCAGCCCGGCUUCUCAAUGUCAUCAUGUGGAUCCAUGUACUCCCCCUGUCAACUUCCCUGCUGUCCCCUCCCCCCAACAACCCAUCAAGUUGCUUCCAUUGUUCAGCACUAAAACCCUCAACAUGUUAGAGUUCGUCUGACCCAGAACGCAGAGAAAUCACACUGACCACGUAAGAAGGACAUGAGCACUUGGAUCACAAUUCUGAUCUACCUGGCCCAAAUGACUUGCAACUGUCCUGCCUGAAGUUCUACUGGUUGAGGUGCUGAUCCGGUUGCUGCCAGAUUGCUCCUGCAGCCACUUCCCAUGUUCCACCUGACUGUCCCAAUCCUGUCUACCUGGUUAUGCUGUGGACUUGGCCUCUGUUUUAGGACUCCGGUCAAAGCCUGCUUGCAAUUAUUGACCUGCUAGUCUUCUGAUCAUGCAAAACAUUGACUUAGACUAUAAGGUUAUGAGCACAUACAGAAUAAGCUUCUCCCAGUGCAGCUAGAAGAGGACUAGCCACCCUUCAGUCUAGUUUCUCUCUAGGUUUCUUCCUAAUUUUGGAGGUUUUAGGCUCGGUGACAAAAGAGGUUUUAGGCUCAGUGACAACUGCUGAUGUAAAAACGGCUUUACAAAUAUAAUUUGAUUGGUUAUUAUUAUUCUG
This is a long non-coding RNA of Esox lucius (northern pike), 825 nucleotides long. The record is from Ensembl. NCBI's taxonomy places the organism in Eukaryota, Metazoa, Chordata, Actinopteri, Esociformes, Esocidae.